Ictalurus punctatus (channel catfish) is the source of this 1948-nucleotide long non-coding RNA. Lineage: Eukaryota; Metazoa; Chordata; Actinopteri; Siluriformes; Ictaluridae. The record is from Ensembl.
GACAACAGAGCAGAUCCAAGAACCGGAGAACCGUGCCAUAUCCAAGAGGAACCUUUUCAUUCAUAUUCCACUGCAGUAACUCUUCCGUCUCGGGACCACUGAACCGUUCACGUCAUAUUUCCACGUAAACGCUAGAACGCCGGUUCUGUCUCGCGUCCAUACUUCACAGAAGACGCGGAACGGCACGGACGACAGAGAACCCCGAGGACCAUGAGAAGAUCGUGUGACGAACGGACGAACUCUCUCCGCGUCCGUGAUUCACAUCUCUCUCGGACUGGAUGACGGAGAACUCAGCGAGGUCUGUGUAGACCCCGAGACGUCAUCCGACAAGGAAAAUAAAACACAAAGAGCAAGCCUGGUGCGCUUUGUGUUCGUGUUACAUCGAGCGCCUUUCACCAGCUUGGGGGCGAAACAGAGAGUCCACUGUGGCUCCAGAACGCAGUGCAUUAAUAAACACUCUGUGGUGUCGGUCAUGCCAUGAAGCAACAAGCGGUUUAAAAUAAUUAUCUCCUGCUGAAUAAGAGCGGCGUCCUGUAUUAGAGAAGACUUUAACAAAAUGGAAAUGCAGAAAGUGGGUUAUUAAACUCCAUUAAUAUCUGCCUAGAGCUUUGUACAGAACACUUCACAAAGAAAAAAAUAUGACAAGUGCUCCGUCGAGAAGCAUUAGUCUCGGUCUGAACUCACAGCGGGCGCUACGCGGCGGCGCGCCACGUCCUCUGGAUCCUUACCGCGCGCUCGUGGUGGAGUCUAAACAUAUUUGCAUAAAGUGAGCAAUCGAAACCUCGAGAAGCACAAAAGACCGCUGCGACGGGAAUGAAAAAUGGUCGGACGAUACACGGUAUGACCCAGCCUGCCAUAUGUCUCGCUAACGUUGACCCAGAUUCGGCGGCGGCGCUCGAUCGGUCAGUUUCGAACAUCAGCGGAGGGGAAUUUCAUGACCUGGAUUUACUAUCACGUCACUCAGCUGUGUGCACGUGUGACACGUAUCGAAACAGUCCGCGCUGGAUCAGGUGCUAUUCUACGGUACGUGCUGCCGAGUCAUGAGUGUGGAAGCCAUUUUGUUUCGAUGGAAUCAAUGAGAGAACUACAACUAGGACUAUUCAUGCAGUAUCACACGGGUGACAUCUUAUUUCAUGGCUAUUCCCCGUAACGCUUCUUCAGUCCUCGAUCACUUCAGGUGUAAAGGAGAACGCUCGUGUGAUCGGGCCGCUACUGAGAAACCCAGCCUCGUACGCUUCCACUCGAGCCACGCCUAGAAACGUCAGCUACACGCGGGUGAUUUUAAUAAUCCGAACGUGCAGCUCUUAAUCAGCGGUGUAACCCAACUCUGAACACCAGGAACUUCCCUCGCGUGAACAUCGAACUUUUUGGACCUGAUCACGACUCUGAAUACGGCCCUCGUUCAGGAGGAAAUACAGACCAGGUCCGGAGGUUUCUAGUGCUAACCCGUAGCUCGUCGUACUUCGGGUUAGAAUCACAUUAGCUAGCAUUGCAUCCUAGUUAAAGUUUCCGUGCAGCCGAAACAUAAAAACACGGCAGGUACGAUGAAUCUUUUAGUUUCCCGGAGCACUAGCUAAUUAAUCGAGCUACUAUGUAGCUAUGAAAUCAUUCAAUACAAGUUCAUCUACGAGUGGCUGGUUAGAAACUUUCUGCAUUUAUUCUUCCAAGACUAAACUUUUUCAAGCUAACGUUAAACCAGAGAUCUGUCUUUUUCACCAAGUACAAAUCUGCAGAUUUUACUCAUUUCCCUAAACAUAGCUACGUAGCUUAGCUUACCUUGUUUUAGAGUUUACGGUAGAUUUCCAGACAUUGUUCAGGGGUUUUUUUUUUUUUUUUUAAAGAAUUAUUUAUCUAUAAUACGAGGACGAUCGCGACAGCUACACGGCAAAGCGCGCGAUUCCGAAAUCCAUUUACAUAAAUUUAGCUUCCGUGCUGAUUUUGUCUUUUU